AUGAAAUAUGAAGUUUUAUUAAAAGAAAAAGGGGUGAAAAGAACAAAGUUUUGUCCAUCUUUGUUCAUCAUAGCUGAAAGUUAGAGGAGAGAAAGGAGAGGAGAAAACUCUUGAGUAUUUGGUCAUUAGGAGGAGGAAAAUUGAAGGCGGUUCGUGUGUGGAUCUCGUCAACAUAUCGUCGCAAACAGAAAAUCCCCAACCAUAGUGGGCUUGGAGCUGUGAGGGAAUUCGGAGUGGCCACCCGUUCUGUAACGCCCCAAUUUUCGGGAAUCCUGUGAAUGUUGGCAUAGGUUUAAUUAUGUUAGUGGGCCUCUAGAAAGCCCAAGCUUAAGAUAGAACCCGGCAAUUUUAGUUAAUUUUUGUUCCAUAAGAAAAAGGGGGUGAAAUUAUGAAAUAGGACCUAUGUGAAAAUGUUUGAAAAUGCUAUAGGCUAAAUUGAAGUGGCCAAAUAAAUAGGAGUGCAAAAUAGGAGGAUUUGCAUGACAAACCUCCCAUUUUACAUGAAGUGGCCAGCCAU
Long non-coding RNA from Gossypium arboreum, 517 nucleotides. RefSeq lists it as uncharacterized. NCBI's taxonomy places the organism in Eukaryota, Viridiplantae, Streptophyta, Magnoliopsida, Malvales, Malvaceae. The record is from RefSeq and is a predicted model, not a curated record. The transcript has 3 exons.